AGUCGUAACAAGGUCUCCGUUGGUGAACCAGCGGAGGGAUCAUUACCGA
Molecule: ribosomal RNA, 49 nt
Filed under: Colletotrichum dematium
Lineage: Eukaryota; Fungi; Ascomycota; Sordariomycetes; Glomerellales; Glomerellaceae
Description: partial 18S ribosomal RNA
Rfam family: Eukaryotic small subunit ribosomal RNA
Source: RNAcentral